GAUGAAGAACGUAGCGAAAUGCGAUAAGUAAUGUGAAUUGCAGAAUUCAGUGAAUCAUCGAAUCUUUGAACGCACAUUGCGCCCGCCAGUAUUCUGGCGGGCAUGCCUGUCUGAGCGUCAUUUCAACCCUCAUGCCCCUAGGGCGUGGUGUUGGGGAUCGGCCAAAGCCCGCGAGGGACGGCCGGCCCCUAAAUCUAGUGGCGGACCCGUCGUGGCCUCCUCUGCGAAGUAGUGAUAUUCCGCAUCGGAGAGCGAUGAGCCCCUGCCGUUAAACCCCCAACUUUCCAAGGUUGACCUCAGAUCAGGUAGGAAUACCCGCUGAACUUACGCAUAUCAAUAAGCGGAGGA
RNAcentral lists this unclassified non-coding RNA (348 nucleotides) under soil metagenome. RNAcentral describes it as "partial contains 5.8S ribosomal RNA, internal transcribed spacer 2, and large subunit ribosomal RNA". The stretch from base 1 to 120 matches the Rfam family "5.8S ribosomal RNA", at positions 35 to 154 of the family's 154-position model. The record is from RNAcentral.